CCUACGGGGGGCUGCAGUCGAGAAUCAUUCACAAUGGGGGAAACCCUGAUGGUGCGACGCCGCGUGGGGGAAUGAAGGUCUUCGGAUUGUAAACCCCUGUCAUGUGGGAGCAAAUUAAAAAGAUAGUACCACAAUAGGAUGAGACGGCUAACUCUGUGCCAGCAGCCGCGGUAAUACCGAGGGCUCACGCGUUGUUCGGAAUCACUGGGCGUAAAGCGUGCGUAGGCUGUUUCGUAAGUCGUGUGUGAAAGGUGCGGGCUCAACCCGCGGACGGCACAUGAUACUGGGAGACUAGAGUAAGGGAGGGGGAACCGGAAUUCUCGGUGUAGCAGUGAAAUGCGUAGAUAUCGAGAGGAACACUCGUGGCGAAGGCGAGUACCUGGACAUUAACUGACGCUGAGGCACGAAGGCCAGGGGAGCGAAAGGGAUUAGAUACCCUAGUAGUC
This 446-nucleotide ribosomal RNA is filed under the name uncultured bacterium. Its description in RNAcentral is "partial 16S ribosomal RNA". It matches the Rfam family "Bacterial small subunit ribosomal RNA", at positions 338 to 795 of the family's 1533-position model. The record is from RNAcentral.